Molecule: ribosomal RNA, 201 nt
Filed under: uncultured bacterium
Lineage: Bacteria
Description: partial 16S ribosomal RNA
Rfam family: Bacterial small subunit ribosomal RNA
Source: RNAcentral
ACGCUCGACACCUACGGGAGGUAGCAGUGGGGAAUAUUGGGCAAUGGGCGAAAGCCUGACCCAGCAACGCCGCGUGAGGGAAGAAGGUUUUCGGAUUGUAAACCUCUGUCCUCAGGGACGAAGGACGUGACGGUACCUGAGGAGGAAGCCCCGGCUAACUACGUGCCCGCAGCCGCGGUAAUCUGAGCGGGCUGGCAAGGC